Pyrgilauda ruficollis (rufous-necked snowfinch) is the source of this 662-nucleotide long non-coding RNA. RefSeq lists it as uncharacterized. The record is from RefSeq and is a predicted model, not a curated record. The transcript is spliced from 3 exons. NCBI's taxonomy places the organism in Eukaryota, Metazoa, Chordata, Aves, Passeriformes, Passeridae.
AAGUCAGAGUCUGCCACAUCCUCGGCUCAGCUGAGUUUGCGCUGUAGAGUUGGAAGAAACCAGCAGGAAUCAUUCAUCUCUGUACUGAGAACAGCCUGGCAGGAGAGAGAAAUAAGGGGUCGAUUUGAGAAAAGGCUCCCCACACCUUCAUUUGGCUUAGAGCUCUGAAGAGUCUAAUUCCAAGGUCGUGACUACCAAUGACCCUAAAAGCUUCAUAUUGCACAAAAGGAAGGAACUUUAACCCUACCCAGAAAGCCUAAUUGCAAUUGGAGUAUCACAUCUCACUGAGCAGACCCGGCCAACUGCAUCAAAGCUACUGAGCGCAUAGACACAAGAAACAAAUGUGAAGAAACUCCUGCUCAAAAAUUUAAAACCCUGUUUUUUUUCCUGGAAAAUUGCAAAAUUUGGUGAAAUGCAUUCUCGUCUGCAUACCAGCUCUGAUGUUACCCCCCACCGCUACCUGCAGGCUCCAGUGAAGCAGCAGGGGGGACAAUUGCGCUUGAUUUCUAACUAUUAACAGGUAAUUGAAGAAAAACUAUUAACAAUGGGUGAUUGCAACAUGAAGCUGUCAACAACAAAUAGUCAAAACUUCAACAGCAACUAGCCCAACCUGUUUAACUUUGCAGCCUUAAAAAAAAAUGGAUAACUUUCUUACUCAUAAC